RNAcentral lists this unclassified non-coding RNA (308 nucleotides) under Ascomycota sp. Its description in RNAcentral is "partial contains small subunit ribosomal RNA, internal transcribed spacer 1, and 5.8S ribosomal RNA". The stretch from base 1 to 47 matches the Rfam family "Eukaryotic small subunit ribosomal RNA", at positions 1785 to 1831 of the family's 1831-position model. The record is from RNAcentral. Lineage: Eukaryota; Fungi; Ascomycota.
AAAGUCGUAACAAGGUUUCCGUAGGUGAACCUGCGGAAGGAUCAUUACCGAGAAGAGGGCCCCCCGGGGCCCGAACCUCCAACCCCCUGUGAACCGAAACCUCAGUUGCCUUGGCGGGUUCGAGCCCGCCCCCAUAACCUUUUUUUCAAGGAAGCUGGGGCGGGCAGCCCCCUCGUCGUCCCCCCAGGAGCGGGGACGUGACGGGGGCGCCCCGUCGAAAGGUCCCAAGAAAACCCCGUCUCACCGUGUGGUCUGAGCAGAAGAACGAAAUAGAAACAAAACUUUCAACAACGGAUCUCUUGGUUCCA